CAGAAUCAUUUGGGCGCUUGAUUGUCAUAUAAUGAUGGAAACAGUCCGGACUGCCGGGAAGAUAUAUAAUACUGCCAAAGUAUCGGUCUGUAAACUGAAACACGAAACACAAUGGAUAAAGAUACAUUACUACAUUUAAGCAACUCUAUAAAUUAUUCAUUCAGGAGAUGGCAGACGAUAAAGAAGCGGAAAUUGUCCCUGGACUGUUAUAACACGUGACUGUUUACCAUUUUUUGACCAAUCAAUAUCAGGAUUUGGAGAAAUUAGAGAACCAUGGCUGAAAACAACAAGAUUCCAGUUAACAUUGAAGUGACCUUGAUGACUACGCUUUUAAAAUGGCGGUACAACGUUCUUUCUUAUCAAUGAACGAGACGCCAUUUUAGAAAUUUA
Mytilus trossulus (common blue mussel) is the source of this 390-nucleotide long non-coding RNA. RefSeq lists it as uncharacterized. Lineage: Eukaryota; Metazoa; Mollusca; Bivalvia; Mytilida; Mytilidae. The transcript has 4 exons. The record is from RefSeq and is a predicted model, not a curated record.